Small nucleolar RNA from Ursus americanus (American black bear), 131 nucleotides. The record is from Ensembl. NCBI's taxonomy places the organism in Eukaryota, Metazoa, Chordata, Mammalia, Carnivora, Ursidae.
CAGCAUGUUUCCAAGGGCUGUGGCCGGUUGUGGCCAUGGGUUCUCCAACUGCAUGCGAGAGCAACCUGGAGAGACUUUGACAGCACAGGUCAGCAUCAUACCUGCAGCUGCCACUCGACUUUCCUAUAACA